CCCCUGCCCUCUGCUUUCUUCAAGAUUCUAGAAGAUCAGAUUAGGUGCCUCUGCAUGUGGCUUAGCUAGACCUCCAACAAUUGGCAGUAACAAAGGAAGAGAGAAGGUGACAUAACUGAAAAUAAAAAGAAAAUAUUAAUACAGUCUUAGUGAAGCCUGAUGCCACCCAACACAUCAUCUGUAUGUAUUCCUCUAUCUAACUAGCUAGCUACCUGUCUGGCUAGCUAUCUAGUUAUCUAUCUUUCUAUUGGAUUACAUUGAGUUCCAAAGUAAAGCAAAGAUUUUUUUUUCUUUUAUUCUGCUGUUUUUAAACCAAGAACAUUAAAACGUUUUUAUUCAUUCCAGUACCAUACAUGGACAUACAUGGAGAGAAUACCUAGACAAGAUGAUGAAUUUUGGCUGCAGAUUUGCUUACAUCUAUCUGGUACCAAAAUUGGUCCUAUAUUAUUGUAUGACACUUAUGUAAGAUGUUAACAUUACGGAAAGUAUAUAGGAUCUCUGAAAUUUACUUUGGUGCCUUUUUGGUAAGUCUAAUAUUACUCUAAAAUUAAUAGUUAAAAAAAACCUGGAGUUCCCCUUGUGACUCAGCAGGUUAAGAACUAGACAUAGUGUCUGUGAGGAUGCAGGUUCCAUCCCUGGCCUCACUCAGUGGGUUAAGGAUCUGGCGUUGCCACAAGCUGUGGUGUAGGUCGCAGAUGCAGCUGGAUCUGGUGUUGCUGUGGCUGUGGCACAGGCAUGCAGCUGCAACUCCUACUAAACCCCUAGCCCAGGAAACUUCCAUGUGCCACAGGUGUAGCCAUAAAAAGAAAAGAAACAUAAAACCUGAUACAAAUUACAUUCACUCAGGCUAAUGUGGAGUAAACUUUUUUAGUAACAUAUAAAUGAUGACUUCUUAAUUUAUCCAUGGUAUUAUAAUAUGCAUAUACAGUCCCCCAAAUUAUACCAAUGUGCAUAAAUAGACAUUCAUUUUAUUUUUAAAAUCAGUGACACGAGCUGUCAAUUCACAAUGAACAUGCUGCUGCUCAUUCCCAUGCAUUUAUACUCAAAGAAAUCUAGAGGUUUUU
Molecule: long non-coding RNA, 1064 nt
Filed under: Sus scrofa (pig)
Lineage: Eukaryota; Metazoa; Chordata; Mammalia; Artiodactyla; Suidae
Description: lncRNA (ENSSSCG00000054524.1, ENSSSCG00180003438.1)
Source: RNAcentral